This 383-nucleotide ribosomal RNA is filed under the name uncultured bacterium. RNAcentral's name for it is "bacterial SSU rRNA". It matches the Rfam family "Bacterial small subunit ribosomal RNA", at positions 28 to 414 of the family's 1533-position model. The record is from RNAcentral.
GACGAACGCUGGCGGCGUGCUUAACACAUGCAAGUCGAGCGGUAAGGCCCUUUCGGGGGUACACGAGCGGCGAACGGGUGAGUAACACGUGGGUGACCUGCCCUCAGCUCUGGGAUAAGCCUGGGAAACCGGGUCUAAUACCGGAUAUGACUCCAUGACGCAUGUUGUGGGGUGGAAAGCCUUGUGCGGCUGAGGAUGGGCCCGCGGCCUAUCAGCUUGUUGGUGGGGUGAUGGCCUACCAAGGCGACGACGGGCAGCCGGCCUGAGAGGGCGACCGGCCACACUGGGACUGAGACACGGCCCAGACUCCUACGGGAGCAGCAGUGGGGAAUAUUGCGCAAUGGGCGUAAGCCUGACGCAGCGACGCCGCGUGGGGAUGAAGG